GGUUGCGAUCAUACCAGCACUAAUGCACCGGAUCCCAUCAGAACUCUGCAGUUAAGCGUGUUUGGGCGAGAGUAGUACUAGGAUGGGUGACCCCCUGGGAAGUCCUCGUGUUGCAACCCC
This 120-nucleotide ribosomal RNA is filed under the name Helianthus annuus (common sunflower). The record is from RNAcentral. Lineage: Eukaryota; Viridiplantae; Streptophyta; Magnoliopsida; Asterales; Asteraceae.